RNAcentral lists this ribosomal RNA (420 nucleotides) under uncultured bacterium. RNAcentral's name for it is "bacterial SSU rRNA". It matches the Rfam family "Bacterial small subunit ribosomal RNA", at positions 356 to 774 of the family's 1533-position model. The record is from RNAcentral.
AAGGAAUAUUGGUCAAUGGACGCAAGUCUGAACCAGCCAUGCCGCGUGAAGGAUGAAGGUCCUCUGGAUUGUAAACUUCUUUUAUCUGGGACGAAAACGGGAUUUUUAUCUCAAUUGACGGUACCAGAGGAAUAAGCACCGGCUAACUCCGUGCCAGCAGCCGCGGUAAUACGGAGGGUGCGAGCGUUAUCCGGAUUUACUGGGUUUAAAGGGUGCGUAGGUGGGCUUAUAAGUCAGUGGUGAAAUCUCCGAGCUUAACUUGGAAACUGCCGUUGAUACUAUAGGUCUUGAAUUAUCUGGAGGUAAGCGGAAUAUGUCAUGUAGCGGUGAAAUGCUUAGAUAUGACAUAGAACACCAAUUGCGAAGGCAGCUUACUACAUAUAAAUUGACACUGAGGCACGAAAGCGUGGGGAUCAAACA